UCAUCGGCCUCAGAUUGGUAGGACUACCCGCUGAACUUAAGCAUAUCAAUAAGCGGAGGAAAAGAAACUAACAAGGAUUCCCCUAGUAACGGCGAGUGAAGAGGGAAGAGCCCAAGAUUGAAAGCUGGCGUCUUCGGCGUCCGCAUUGUAAUCUCAAGAAGUGUUUUCCGCUUCGGACCAUGCCUAAGUCCCUUGGAAAAGGGCAUCAUAGAGGGUGAUAAUCCCGUACAUGGCAUGGAGCGCCCGUAGCUUUGUGAUACGCUUUCUAAGAGUCGAGUUGUUUGGGAAUGCAGCUCAAAAUGGGUGGUAAAUGCCAUCUAAGGCUAAAUAUUGGGGAGAGACCGAUAGCGAACAAGUACAGUGAUGGAAAGAUGAAAAGAACUUUGAAAAGAGAGUUAAACAGUACGUGAAAUUGCCAAAAGGGAAGGGUAGGAGGUCAGAGAUGCGUCUUGGGAUUCAGCCUUGCUUUUGCCUGGUGUUUUUCCCAAGCUGCAGGCCAACGUCGGUUUUGGGCACUGGAGAAGGGUAGGAGGAACGUGGCACCUCUCGGGGUGUGUUAUAGCCUCCUACUGGAUACAGCGACCGAGACCGAGGAACGCAGCGUACUCGUAAGAGCGGGCCUUUUGGCACCUUUACGCUUAGGGCGUUGGCAUAAUGGCCCUCUACCACCCGUCUUGAAACACGGAC
This 687-nucleotide ribosomal RNA is filed under the name Pseudozyma prolifica. RNAcentral's name for it is "eukaryotic LSU rRNA". It matches the Rfam family "Eukaryotic large subunit ribosomal RNA", at positions 1 to 666 of the family's 3401-position model. The record is from RNAcentral. Lineage: Eukaryota; Fungi; Basidiomycota; Ustilaginomycetes; Ustilaginales; Ustilaginaceae.